UUAAUUACAUUUUAUAUUAAAUUGUUUGGUUUUAAUAAUAAGGAUAACAGCUGACUGAAUCGUAUCGUCAUCAUGAAGAUAAAUAAUAAUUUUCUAAAUAUAAAAAAAUAAUCAAAAAUAAUUAGUUGACUUAAUUUUUUUUAGGUAAUUGCAUAGCUUAUUUACAAAUAUACUGCGCUUUUAGCCGAUUUCCGAUAAUCCAAACCGACUUACUUUAAGAAAACGAUGCUACCCGAACAAACAACGCGACCCUUAAUUAAAAGUUUUGUUCGUUGUCUAUUUGCGAAAGUCAAUAAAAGUUCUGAAACAAGUCAACAAUUUCAAGAUACUUUUGAAAACAGUCUGGAUACAAUAGUUGCAGGAAGCCGGAUUGGAAUUCUGAGAUCGAUUCGGCAGACAGAGUUCAGUUCAAAAAUGUGGAAGACGUACAGGAGCUUAAGCUUGAAGCGCGGAAGCUUUUUGAAUUGUUCUAAGGCAAACGCUUGGAAGCUUACAUUAAACUGAAGAGAAGUUUUAAUAGACCAGAGCCCAAACGAUGCUAAACUGUUUACCUUUGAAAACUCGAUGGAGCAGUAAUUAAUCACAAAUCAUAGAUGACAUUCUUCUUCUGAAUUGUAGAUCGGCAAAUUGGGUAUUCUUUAUACAACAUGCUGUUUAACUUUAUUGUGAAACAAACAAAAUAAUUUUUCUAUGAAUUAUGUAUUUUAUAGUAUCGAUUAUAAUAAACCAAUGAUGUCAAAAUGA
Molecule: long non-coding RNA, 744 nt
Organism: Bombyx mori (domestic silkworm)
Lineage: Eukaryota; Metazoa; Arthropoda; Insecta; Lepidoptera; Bombycidae
Exons: 3
Source: RefSeq, a predicted model, not a curated record